This 630-nucleotide ribosomal RNA is filed under the name Porifera sp. GUM22. RNAcentral's name for it is "partial large subunit ribosomal RNA". It matches the Rfam family "Eukaryotic large subunit ribosomal RNA", at positions 1270 to 1874 of the family's 3401-position model. Lineage: Eukaryota; Metazoa; Porifera. The record is from RNAcentral.
GCUAAGGAGUGUGUAACAACUCACCUGCCGAAUCAACUAGCCCUGAAAAUGGAUGGCGCUGAAGCGUCGUACCCACACCCGGCCGUCGGGCCGCGCGGCACGGUCCGACGAGUAGGAGGGCGCGGCGGUGGCGGUGCAGCUUCGGGCGCGAGCCCGGGUGAAGCCUCCGCCGGUGCAGAUCUUGGUGGUAGUAGCAACUAUUCAAACGAGAUCUUUGAAGACUGAAGUGGAGUAGGGUUCCAUGUGACCAGCACUUGGACAUGGGUUAGUCGAUCCUAAGGGGAGGGAGAGAUCCCCGUGGAAGGCGCAAUCGCCUCCGGCGACCGCGCCGUCUUCCCCGAAAGGGAGUCGGGUCAACAUUCCCGAACCGGGAUGCGGGUAGGCCCUCGUGGCCGAGGCGGCAACGCGAGCGAACUCGGAGACGUCGGCGGGAGCCCCGGGAAGAGUUCUCUUUUCUUCUUAACGGGCCCAUCCCCUGGAAUCAGGUUGGCUGGAGAUAGGGUGUCGUGCCCGGUAAAGCGUCACACUUGUGGUGGCGUCCGGUGCGCUCCCGACGGCCCGUGAAAAUCCGAGGGAGCGUCUGAUCUUCGCGCCCGGUCGUACCGAUAUCCGCAUCAGGUCUCCAAGGUA